RNAcentral lists this long non-coding RNA (579 nucleotides) under Rattus norvegicus (Norway rat). Its description in RNAcentral is "uncharacterized LOC102552786, transcript variant 2 (LOC102552786)". The record is from RNAcentral. Lineage: Eukaryota; Metazoa; Chordata; Mammalia; Rodentia; Muridae.
GACUGAACCUCUGAAAGUGUAAGCCAGCCCCAAUUAAAUGUUGUUUUCUACAAGAGUUGCUUUGGUCAUGGUGUGUCUUCAGAGCAGCGGGAACCCUAACUGGAUCAGCCCCUUCUCCCUUUGCUGCCUGGCCACUUGGCAGCUUCUCUGGGGGAAAUGCUGGCUGUGUUCGCCUCUCUGCUAUAAGGCACUGCUCUGCCUUUUAACUCCAAGCAAUGUCUGGAGCUACAGCAACCUUCUUGGACAAUUAGACAACAAAAUGUAAAUGUUGGUCACCCAAUGGCUGAGCAGAAAAGAGGAGAGGAGAGUCAGCUCACAGGGAAGAUGGAGGAAUUGGGGCAACGAAGAAGGGGUCUGAAGAGUCAGAUCAAUAAUAAUACGAAGUGUCCCAACCACAGUAAGGGUUGGACCCUCCACCUCCCCGCUCUUCUGCGUACCAGAGAUAUCUCCCCAUCAAGGUCCUCCAAUGAAUUCAAAGGACAAUAGGCGACCACCAGUGAAUUCAAAAGGUUGCCUCUGCCCCGAUUGCAGAAUGACCUCAGUGCACUGGAUCAAUAAACCUCUUGCUUCUUGCAUCAA